Long non-coding RNA from Serinus canaria (Common canary), 3579 nucleotides. RefSeq lists it as uncharacterized. The record is from RefSeq and is a predicted model, not a curated record. The transcript has 7 exons. Lineage: Eukaryota; Metazoa; Chordata; Aves; Passeriformes; Fringillidae.
GAAUCAGAGUAGCUCCAUGCAGCCUCCCACUUUUAAUCUUUUUGAAGAAUGUGAACAGUACCAUUCACUGGUAAAAAAUGUAACCAAGAGAGUUCUGCAGUGUUGUUGAUUUCUGCUGGAUAUUCAUAGUAGGAAUUAUACUUGUAAAUGUUGUAUGCAUGUGAAAAGUCUUCAUUUGAAAGUUUGCUAAGCAACAAAUCCUUCAAAUGGAACAGGUUGCAACUCUGCUCUGCCUAUAAAGUACAGAUGCAUGGCCUGUCUCUGACUGGAUGCAUGCCAGAUUGUCCUUUGGGAUAUAGCCCAGUGAGCAGGAGAAAUGGGUUUGAACUUGGCAAAAUGGCAUUAGGCAUAAAGGAAGAAACUGGAGAGCUGCUUCAUCAGUGUCAAUCCAGACUGUGGUUGGUCUCAUAAAAAGGAUCUUAUUGAUGAAUUAGUACAGCUACCCUCUCAGCCAUGGAAGAAUACCUCAUACAAAAAAAUCCAUAGGUGACUAAUAGGUGUGGUAAGCAGCCUGUGAGAUUUGGGAGAAACAUUCUGGCAAACCUGGAAAUCAACCUAGAUCUAAAUUACCUGCUAUUGUGGAUAUUUUAGUCUUAAUUCAUGCUUUUCCACCACAUUUCAGAAGGUAUCCUUUAUCUGAACAGCUUUGCUUUCUUGUUUGUUUGUUUUUUAGGUUUGUCAGUCAUUACACAGUGCUAUUUAGAAUCAAUUUAGCACCCUUCCAUGUGCUGAGUGGUUGUGGUGAGUGAUGAUUGAUGAGUGAUGAUUACUAGCAGGAUUAACCUGCUAGUAAUUAAAUGUUGCUGCCUCUUAGCUUGAAAAUGAAACAUCUCUAUGGAAUUUAAGAGUUUCUUGCUUUAUCUAGGUUGGGCACGUCUAAAUAGUACAGGUAGGUUUACCGAGUUAGUGUAGGUAUAGUGCAAUCAUAAAACAAUAAGUUUAAAAAGCAAAAUGAAGAAGGGGGAAGAGUGGAGAGAGAGGAAGAAGAGAAGAAGAUAUUGAGAGAAGGGAAACAAAUUCAACCGAUCAUUAAAACUUUGAAUUGCAUGGGAAAUUUUCUGCACUUUGCUGAAUCUUGGGUAUAAUUUCCUAAUUUUGGCUUUGUGCUAUCCGGAUAAAUAUUUCCUGUCUGGACUCAUUUCUACUCACAGAUGGGUCUUCAAAAUUUUUAAGUGUUAAGUUGCAUAAAAGAGGAUGUGCUGCCUGUUUGUUGAAGCCUAGAGGGGUACCUGUCUCAGUAAAGCAGAGGCUGAGUUCUUUAUCAUUUGUGGACCCACUGAAUGCUUGAUUUUCAUAUUGGCUUUACCACUAUGAAGAGUUUUACCUCUUGAAUUCACUGAUUCCUAAGCAGAAUUCCUAAGCAGAAUGAAGCCCUUUUUUAUUUUUCUCAAAAUCUGCUAUCAAAAAUCACAUUAUUUCAGCAUUCAAAGAGAGUUCUUUGCUUCUUCAAAGACUUAUUAGACUGAUCUGUCCCAUGCUCCUCACAGGACUGUGGCAGUGUAACCUCAUAUGAUACCAAUGCUGAGCUUCUGUUUGAAAUAAUAGGGAUGAUGCCUUAUCCUGCACAGACAUCAGAGGGAUUUUAAAUAAAGGUUGUCACUGAGAAGCCUGUAAGCUGCCCUCACUUAGUUCUGUCUGGCCUGUGUUAGGCAGAAGACGAAGGCAUUUGAAUGUCUUAAUUGAAGCAGAGGGUGAGCUUUUUACCUUUAGCUCUUGUUGCAUUUAAGGAUUCAUGCUGAAUAACAAUAAUAAAAGAUUAAUCCCAUCUGGUUCUCUGUUGACUGUUAGUUUAAUUUAGUGUAUGACAACUCAAAGUUUAGUCUGCCAGCCAACGAAGGUAUGCAGUUAUCAACAUUACUGAUAGGAUAAAACAAUUAUGUAAGCUUAUUUUCAAAUCUCCCCAAAUCCCAUAAUACUUAACCAAGUAAAACCCUUGAGCUAAAAUGUACCUGUUUACAGAAAGCUACAACAUCAAAUACAGGUUUCACUCAGAACUUUGGGUAGACUAAUUGGCCUUGUUGGCUCCUUUUUUUUUUCUCUGUUGCCAUUUUUAGGUAUGAAAUAUAUCAAACUGAAAAGAAAAUAUGGACAAGAAAAACACAGUUGUAAGAAAGAAUUUUGAGAGUUUUCAGAAAGACUUCUUUGCUUGCAAGGCUGUGGAGGCCCAAGCCCUGAACUAUUUGGCUGACAGUUGCCCUAAAAACACAAGUGUGCUCGCAGCAACAUUGAAGCAAACUAGGCUUGAAGAAAGGAACCGGAACAAAGUCCUAGAUCUCCUUCUAGGAGUUUUCCAAAAGAGAUUUAGCUUACCACGACUGGACAUCUGCUCCCAGAGCAUCCUGCUAUAUAACUGUGCUGAAAGGACUCCAACGAAGGAGGAAUGAUGAGGAGAACUCUACUGAUAUCAGAAGGUUAAUUAAUUACUUUAUUAUACUAUAUUAUUUUGUACAUCUAACACUGAAUUUGCUAAGCACUCAACCCUACACACAACAGUACUCAUUUCGUGACUGUCCACUGACAGUCUCCACACACACACACACUUGGCCCUGAUAGGCCAAGGAAACAAAACACCAUGACUUUGGUAAACAAUCUCCAUAUUGCAUUUUACUCUUGCACAAACACUGGCACAGCAAGUUAUAAGAAUUGUUUUUCUUUUCUCUGAGGUUCAGAGAAUGUGAAUUUCAGAAAUAUUCUCUGUGAAGAGAAAUGUGGGGCUACACUGCUGUCACUUCACAUCCAAGUACUCUUGACACUCCACUCUGCCAGUACCUCUUGUCUCCUGCCUGUGACUGGGACCACUGUGAAACCUUGGGCUCCAUUCCCCUCACUGUAGGAGAUGAAAGCACAGGCCAGAUGUCCAGCCAAAGUGAGAGAAAACACUGGUAGCUGACAAGUCUUGCAGAGGAAUGAUGCACACGGGAGGACUGUGAGCGAGGUGAGAGAGACGCUGCUAUCGAUAAGCUGGAAUCAGUGUUUGUUCCCCAGCACUCCCAGGGCCCAAACAGCCAGCUGCAAUGGCAGAAUUCAGCCCUGAAGGUACAUGAAGAAUGUCCCCCGAACUGGCAUCUGGUACUGCUCCCUGCAUUCGAUCCUGUUAGCGGGAAACAAGCCAGGCCCCUCUGACCUCCCAGUGGUUGGUGGUGUUCAGGACAAACCACAAAUAACCCCUGAAGGCAGGAGGAGGGACAGGACAGAAUGUGGUAGAGGAUCAUAAAUCAUCACUGCCAUCCCAGAUAGAAACCAGGCAGGGGUCCUGAGCCUGCUCAUCCGGUCAGACAGGUACACGUGCAGACACUGGGCUGCAGACGCGGACACAACAGCAGCAGGUGACAUCAGCCCACCACAUGGGAAGCAGAAAGCCCUCCCUGCACCUCCUGCAGAGCUGGAGGAGACCCACUUCUUCCCUCUGCCCUUACAGCCUGCAGCCAUGGGCUGCUACGGCUGCCACCCUGCCCAGACAGUCACAUGGAUUAAAUACACUUUUAAACAUGGAAGCUGUAUUUCUCUGAAAUUAAACAGCUUCCCACACUCUUAUUAACCUGUGCCCUACUUCAGAAAUAAAUCUAAUUUGGAAUUUCA